UCUCGCCUGCCAGUGAACUUUUUCAACGGCCGCGGUAUUCUAACCGUGCAAAGGUAGCGUAAUCACUUGUCUUCUAAAUAAAGACCUGUAUGAACGGCUAAAUGAGGAUAAACCUGUCUCUUAUAACUAACCAGUGAAACUGAUCUCCCAGUACAAAAGCUGGGAUAAUUACAUAAGACGAGAAGACCCUGUGGAGCUUAAAACAGACCACCAACCACCACUAGUUAUGAUGUAAUGCUUUAAGUUGGGGCGACUUCGGAAUAUAAUAAAACUUCCGAGCACAGAACCACCAAUUCAAACUAAGGCCAACAGGCCAAAGUACUAACUUGACCCGGCCCACGCCGACCAACGAACCAAGUUACCCCAGGGAUAACAGCGCUAUCUUCUUCAAGAGUCCCUAUCAACAAGAAGGUUUACGACCUCGAUGUUGGAUCAGGACACCCAAAUGGUGCAGCCGCUAUUAAAGGUUCGUUUGUUCAACGAUUAAUAGUCCUACGUGAUCU
Molecule: ribosomal RNA, 503 nt
Filed under: Heremites sp. 1 ERP-2017
Lineage: Eukaryota; Metazoa; Chordata; Lepidosauria; Squamata; Scincidae
Description: partial 16S ribosomal RNA
Rfam family: Bacterial large subunit ribosomal RNA
Source: RNAcentral